AGAGUUUGAUCAUGGCUCAGGAUGAACGCCGGCGGUGUGCCUAAUACAUGCAAGUCGUACGCACUGGCCCAACUGAUUGAUGGUGCUUGCACCUGAUUGACGAUGGAUCACCAGUGAGUGGCGGACGGGUGAGUAACACGUAGGUAACCUGCCCCGGAGCGGGGGAUAACAUUUGGAAACAGAUGCUAAUACCGCAUAACAACAAAAGCCACAUGGCUUUUGUUUGAAAGAUGGCUUUGGCUAUCACUCUGGGAUGGACCUGCGGUGCAUUAGCUAGUUGGUAAGGUAACGGCUUACCAAGGCGAUGAUGCAUAGCCGAGUUGAGAGACUGAUCGGCCACAAUGGAACUGAGACACGGUCCAUACUCCUACGGGAGGCAGCAGUAGGGAAUCUUCCACAAUGGGCGCAAGCCUGAUGGAGCAACACCGCGUGAGUGAAGAAGGGUUUCGGCUCGUAAAGCUCUGUUGUUGGAGAAGAACGUGCGUGAGAGUAACUGUUCACGCAGUGACGGUACCCAACCAGAAAGUCACGGCUAACUACGUGCCAGCAGCCGCGGUAAUACGUAGGUGGCAAGCGUUAUCCGGAUUUAUUGGGCGUAAAGCGAGCGCAGGCGGUUGCUUAGGUCUGAUGUGAAAGCCUUCGGCUUAACCGAAGAAGUGCAUCGGAAACCGGGCAACUUGAGUGCAGAAGAGGACAGUGGAACUCCAUGUGUAGCGGUGGAAUGCGUAGAUAUAUGGAAGAACACCAGUGGCGAAGGCGGCUGUCUGGUCUGCAACUGACGCUGAGGCUCGAAAGCAUGGGUAGCGAACAGGAUUAGAUACCCUGGUAGUCCAUGCCGUAAACGAUGAGUGCUAGGUGUUGGAGGGUUUCCGCCCUUCAGUGCCGGAGCU
Molecule: ribosomal RNA, 890 nt
Filed under: uncultured bacterium
Lineage: Bacteria
Description: bacterial SSU rRNA
Rfam family: Bacterial small subunit ribosomal RNA
Source: RNAcentral